Molecule: long non-coding RNA, 3122 nt
Filed under: Salmo salar (Atlantic salmon)
Lineage: Eukaryota; Metazoa; Chordata; Actinopteri; Salmoniformes; Salmonidae
Description: lncRNA (ENSSSAG00000111801.1)
Source: RNAcentral
GGGGAGGAGAGGAGGGGAGGAGAGGAGAGGAGGAGAGGAGGAGAGGAGAUGAGGAGAUGAGGAGAGGAGGGGAGGAGAUGAGGAGAGGAGGAGGGGAGGAGAGAGGAGGAUUCCAAAGCUUCGUUACACCUUUGGUCUUUUUAUAGCAGCGUUGAGCGUCAGAAUGGGUUUUCAGACACUAACGACCCGCUGCCAAGCGAGCCGAGCGACCGGAGAGAAUUUAGAACCCUCUGGUGUUCCCUUCUGUGAGUUUGAGUCGAGCAUUUCUGUUUCUCAUUGAGCCCGAGAGAGACACAGAAAUACACACACACACACACACACACACACACACACACACACACACACACACACACACACACACACACACACACACACACACACACACACACACACACACACACACACACACACACACACACACACACACACACACCUACAAGCUGAGCUCUAUUAGUAUUUGAUCCUGCAGGCAGACAGAGAGCUAGUUAGGCUCCUCUCUGUCUCUGUCUCCUGCUAGAUGAGCUGUGUACUUGUGUGUGUGUGUGUGUGUGUGUGUGUACAUGUGUGUGUGUGUGUGAAUGUUAACUGGAGAACAGCUACCUGGGUAGUAUGUUGUUUUUAUGAGCAGAAAUCCACAGGAAGGUGGUUUUAAUUCAACCGAAGAGAGAAUCUGACCCACAUCCACCUGAUAAUACAGUUAAAUCAGUGUUCUACUUUAUGAGUUAUUUUAACUGGAGAGACGAGUUUCUGUGAAGAUGGAUGUUGGUAAUAUGAUAUUUUUAAAAAAUGACGCAUUGGAGGCUAGACAAGUUCACUCUUCAUCAUUUUUGACUUGCAAGGUCUCCAUUUUAGUCUCAGCUGUGAUGCUGGUCGAAAAAGUUUCACAAAAAAGUGAAAUAAAACAUUUUGUUCAGAGUGAGAUUAAAGGUGACCGAAGGAGGGGGGGGGGGGAAGAGUGAGAGAUAACAGAGGAGAGGAAGAGGGAGAGAUAACAGAAGAAACGAAGAGGGAGAGAUAACAGAAGAGAGGAGAGAGGUAACAGAACAGAGGAUAGAGAGAGAGACAACAGAAGAGAGGAGGAGAGAGGUAAUAGUAGAGAGGAUAGAGAGAUAACAGAAGAAAGGAGGAGAGAGGUAACAGAAGAGAGGAGAGAGAGAUAACAGAAGAGAGGAGAGAGAGGUAACAGAAGAGAGGAGAGAGAGAUAACAGAAGAGAGGAGAGAGAGAUAACAGAAGAGAGGAGAAGAGAGUAUGUUUCUAGUCGUAGUUAGCUUGUUGGUGACCUCCUUCCAAAUACUUUUUGCACAUGUAAGGAAGUUAAAACGUAUUUUUUUCCCCCAGACACAGACUAUUUGCUUCCCAAAUGGCACCCUUUUCCCUAUGUAGUACACUUGUUUUGACCGGGACCAUACGGCUCCUGUCAAACGUAGUGCACUGUGUAGAGAAUACGAUGCCAUUUUGGGAGCGUGGAAACUGUCCCCCUCUGCUCAUUCUCUUUGACUUUUCUCCUCCCGUGUUAACAUAUCCAGUGGUUUACUGUGCUCCUCCCAUAUCCAGUGGUUUACUGUGCUCCUCCCAUAUCCAGUGGUUUACUGUGCUCCUCCCAUAUCCUGUGGUUUACUGUGCUCCUCCCAUAUCCAGUGGUUUACUGUGCUCCUCCCAUAUCCAGUGGUUUACUGUGCUCCUCCCAUAUCCAGUGGUUUACUGUGCUCCUCCCAUAUCCAGUGGUUUACUGUGCUCCUCCCAUAUCCAGUGGUUUACUGUGCUCCUCCCAUAUCCUGUGGUUUACUGUGCUCCUCCCAUAUCCAGUGGUUUACUGUGCUCCUCCCAUAUCCAGUGGUUUACUGUGCUCCUCCCAUAUCCAGUGGUUUACUGUGCUCCUCCCAUAUCCAGUGGUUUACUGUGCUCCUCCCAUAUCCAGUGGUUUACUGUGCUCCUCCCUCCCAUGUUAACAUGUCCAGUGGUCUCAAGCCUACAGUAGACAGAGGGGUGUUCGACUCUGGUGAGAUAUAAUGGGUGAUGAUUUCGAUGCAAGGUGAUCGAUAAAUUAUAAUGCGAUUUUUUUUGAGCGCUUGGAACAUUAUUGAAUAUAUUUUCUGUCCUAGUUUUUUGUCCGUAACUCACGUUGAAUUCCCCACAUUCUGAAAUUCUUUAUUUAGAAAACAUUUAUAGAAUUGUUUUUUCCCCCGGUGUAAGAAAUUAAUAUCUACUUUAUUUGAAUUCAUUAAUUAAUGAAUUAAUUAGAUAUUACAUAUAACAGAUUCAGAUAAAUAUUCCUUUCCUGUCUAAGCCACGUUCCCUGUAACAGAUCCUGUAGAGGCUGAUGGCAACAUAGUUGGGUCCCUUUUUUUAUAUUGUAUUUCUAUGUUUUCCAUCUAUCAGUUUUCCAGAGACCUUGUGAAACACGCAGCGUACUCAUAUCAGUAGGACAAUGACUGUCUGCGGGAGCAGCUACCAGUAGAGCCCUCAAAAACCGGUAGAGGAGACAGGACUGGCCCCUCCUGCACCUCGCUGGCAGAACAUGUUAUUGGACCCCCUCUUGGUUGGGGGGGGGGGCCCCUUACCGGCCUCGGGCCCUAAGCAUCUGCUUGUAUGUCUCUUAUUGGCUGGCAAGACAGAUCAGACAUGCAGGACGGAGGUUUUUGCUGUCGACCAAAGGGUUUUGAGAGAAACAAAGGAGUGUACAAAACAUGGACUUAAACAGAAACUGUCAAGAGGAAAAACUGGAAAGCUAAGCAACCUCUGGAAAAAGAGUACAAAGUUAAAGAACAAACAAAACGGUUUUUUUUUUGUACAGAGAUAUAUUUUUAUGGAAAUACAUUUGUAAUAUGAAAAGAGGAGAAAUGGAUUGACAUAUGUGUAAAUGUUUUUUUUUCUUUGUUAUUGUAGUACAGAUUCUAGUGGGGAAUAUACAAAAACAAAUCUCUCUCUCUCUCUCUAUAUAUAUAUAUAUAUAUAUAUAUAGUGUAUAUACAGAUAAAAACAGAAACAAAGAUUUUUGUAAAUGUCAAAAAUAUUGUACAUACAAGUUUCCAUACAUACUGUCCACAUCAGACCCACCAUGGCUUGUCUGCGGUAUAGAACAUGCAUUUUACCCUCCUGUAUAGGAUGAAUUGCUUUGUG